GCCAAUGGCGGCAGCUUACACAUGCAGUCGAACGGUCUCUUCGGAGGCAGUGGCAGACGGGUGAGUAAUGCAUGGGAAUCUACCGUUCUCUACGGAAUAACUCAGGGAAACUUGUGCUAAUACCGUAUACGCCCUUUUGGGGAAAGAUUUAUCGGAGAAUGAUGAGCCCAUGUUGGAUUAGCUAGUUGGUAGGGUAAAGGCCUACCAAGGCGACGAUCCAUAGCUGGUCUGAGAGGAUGAUCAGCCACACUGGGACUGAGACACGGCCCAGACUCCUACGGGAGGCAGCAGUGGGGAAUAUUGGACAAUGGGCGCAAGCCUGAUCCAGCCAUGCCGCGUGAGUGAUGAAGGCCCUAGGGUUGUAAAGCUCUUUCACCGGUGAAGAUAAUGACGGUAACCGGAGAAGAAGCCCCGGCUAACUUCGUGCCAGCAGCCGCGGUAAUACGAAGGGGGCUAGCGUUGUUCGGAUUUACUGGGCGUAAAGCGCACGUAGGCGGACUUUUAAGUCAGGGGUGAAAUCCCGGGGCUCAACCCCGGAACUGCCUUUGAUACUGGAAGUCUUGAGUAUGGAAGAGGUAAGUGGAAUUGCCAGUGUAUAGGUGAAAUUCUUAUAUAUUCGCCGAACACCACUGGCGAAAGCGUCUUACUGGUCCCUUACUGCCGCUGAGGGUGCGCAACCGCGGGGAAGAAAAAAAGAUUAUAAGCCCGGGGAAGUACCACGGCUUCUAAAAUGAUUGUUGUUCCCCCCGUUGUGGUUACUCCUCGGUGGGAAAGGGAAACAAAAAAACCCCCCCCCCCCCCCGGGGGGGCCUCCGGGAAGAAAUAAAAAAUUUUCCCACGGACGGGCGGGGGCCCCCCCCCUCCUCGGAAAAAAAAGAUUUAAUUAAAAAAAGGGCUGAGAGGUUUGCCCCCCCGGGAUUUCCCCCCAAAAUAUAAAAGGACCCCCUUUUUCCUUUUCAGCACAAAAAAAAAACAAGAAAAGCCUCGCCCCCUCCAUUAACUUCCGGGCGGGGGAGGCAGAGAGAUAAAUGUCGGGACAUUCCUCUGCGAGUCCCCCUUUUUUUUCUUCCCACCCGUAGAAAUAGGGUCUUCUUACACGGGGCGGGGGGUGAAAUCAUAUGAGAAAGCGAGAAGAGACUGUCCCCCCUCUAGUACGCACUUAUCCCCGGCUCGGUGCCCUCACCAAGGAAGAAGUGGGGAGCGGGUGGUCACGACCGCCCAGGGGGGGAGGACGGGAACGCCUCCUCACCCAUCCCCCCCAAAGGAGGCGCGCCCUCGGCUUGUGGGAGGUGUUGAUUCUUUCUACCCCAACAACAAAAGUGUUAGAGUUAGGGAUUGAGAGUGAGCAUGUGCUUAA
RNAcentral lists this ribosomal RNA (1357 nucleotides) under Sinorhizobium sp. FUPSR1. RNAcentral's name for it is "partial 16S ribosomal RNA". The stretch from base 1 to 796 matches the Rfam family "Bacterial small subunit ribosomal RNA", at positions 35 to 873 of the family's 1533-position model. Lineage: Bacteria; Pseudomonadati; Pseudomonadota; Alphaproteobacteria; Hyphomicrobiales; Rhizobiaceae. The record is from RNAcentral.